UACGUAGGGUGCAGGCGUUAAUCGGAAUUACUGGGCGUAAAGCGUGCGCAGGCGGUUGUGUAAGCCAGAUGUGAAAUCCCCGGGCUCAACCUGGGAACUGCAUUUGUGACUGCACGGCUCGAGUGCGGCAGAGGGGGAUGGAAUUCCGCGUGUAGCAGUGAAAUGCGUAGAUAUGCGGAGGAACACCGAUGGCGAAGGCAAGCCCCUGGGCCUGCACUGACGCUCAUGCACGAAAGCGUGGGGAGCAAACAGG
Molecule: ribosomal RNA, 253 nt
Filed under: uncultured bacterium
Lineage: Bacteria
Description: partial 16S ribosomal RNA
Rfam family: Bacterial small subunit ribosomal RNA
Source: RNAcentral